Antrostomus carolinensis (chuck-will's-widow) is the source of this 558-nucleotide non-coding RNA. Lineage: Eukaryota; Metazoa; Chordata; Aves; Caprimulgiformes; Caprimulgidae. The record is from the annotation of a RefSeq genome assembly.
AUGUGGAAAGAGUCAUUUAUUGCACUAAGUAUUAGCAGUGUGAGGACAGAUAAACUUAUAUUUGGAAAUGGGACCACUCUCACAGUUGAACCAAACAAUCAAACAACUUCUGUCCCGGAAGUCAUUGUGAUGAAAUCAAAGAAACUGGAUGAAGAUGGCACCACUGGGAAAGCAGCUUGUUUGGCAAGGAAGUUCUAUCCAAAGAAGAUCAGCUUGGAGAUGUCCUCUAAUGAGGUCGUAUAUGAACAGAGUACACCCAUUUUGACAUCAGAGGCAGCAUACAAUGCUAUUAAGGUAGUCAAUGUGACAAAAGGCACAGAGGUGACCUGUACAGCCCAAUUCAACAACAGCACUGUUACAGCCAACGCAACAUUGCCAGAAAAUAAGGCUGAAGAAUCAGUAACAGAGGAGGUUUGCAACACCCCAGACACCUCUGCACAAGAUACCAAAACGGAGAAAGCGAACAUGUUGUCUAUGGCUGUGUUGGGUCUGAGAGUCCUGCUUGCAAAAAGUAUUGCCUUCAAUACACUCAUGACUAUCAAAUUGUUUCUUUUCUGA